Molecule: ribosomal RNA, 265 nt
Filed under: uncultured prokaryote
Description: partial 16S ribosomal RNA
Rfam family: Bacterial small subunit ribosomal RNA
Source: RNAcentral
UACGUAGGUGGCGAGCGUUGUCCGGAUUUACUGGGCGUAAAGGGAGCGUAGGCGGACUUUUAAGUGAGAUGUGAAAUACCCGGGCUCAACUUGGGUGCUGCAUUUCAAACUGGAAGUCUAGAGUGCAGGAGAGGAGAAUGGAAUUCCUAGUGUAGCGGUGAAAUGCGUAGAGAUUAGGAAGAACACCAGUAGCGAAGGCGAUUCUCUGGACUGUAACUGACGCUGAGGCUCGAAAGCGUGGGGAGCAAACAGGAUUAGAUACCCU